RNAcentral lists this ribosomal RNA (484 nucleotides) under uncultured bacterium. RNAcentral describes it as "partial 16S ribosomal RNA". It matches the Rfam family "Bacterial small subunit ribosomal RNA", at positions 29 to 507 of the family's 1533-position model. The record is from RNAcentral.
AUUGAACGCUGGCGGCAUGCUUUACACAUGCAAGUCGAACGGCAGCGCGGGCUUCGGCCUGGCGGCGAGUGGCGAACGGGUGAGUAAUACAUCGGAACGUGCCCCGUAGUGGGGGAUAGCUCGGCGAAAGCCGGAUUAAUACCGCAUACGACCUGAGGGUGAAAGCGGGGGAUCUUCGGACCUCGCGCUAUUGGAGCGGCCGAUGGCGGAUUAGCUAGUUGGUGGGGUAAAGGCCUACCAAGGCGACGAUCUGUAGCUGGUCUGAGAGGAGGACCAGCCACACGGGGAGUGAGACACGGCCCAGACUCCUACGGGAGGCAGCAGUGGGGAAUGUUGGACAAAGGGCGAAAGCCUGAUCCAGCAAGGCCGCGUGUGUGAUGAAGGCCUUCGGGUUGUAAAGCACUUUUGGCGGGAACGAAAAGGACUGUGCCAAUACCACGGUUCGAUGACGGUACCCGCAGAAUAAGCACCGGCUAACUACGUG